Molecule: long non-coding RNA, 1630 nt
Organism: Homo sapiens (human)
Lineage: Eukaryota; Metazoa; Chordata; Mammalia; Primates; Hominidae
Exons: 3
Source: RefSeq, a predicted model, not a curated record
AUUUUAAAGAUGGGAAAAUUGAGAUCCUGAAAAUGUACACGAAUUGCUCCGGGUCCCACUUGUGGCCAACAGCAGCGUUAGAACUCCCGAAGGCACACGUGGGGCUGUGACUCUCUGAUUAUGAAAGGACACCAUUGCAAAGUACCUAUAAGUGGGGAUAGACUGAUACAAUUGCUUAGGAAACUUAUGGAGGAAAACACACACACUCUCUUCUUCUUCUUGAAUUAUCUUGAUCCCCAGACCAGAGGUUAUUGAUUUGCCAGCCAUGUUUUCUCAGUUUCUGCAAGAUUGGCCUUCAUAUCCUGGGAAGAGAUAACAGGACAGUGAGAGGAGUGGAGAAAACACCUCCCUUCUUUCAUUGCUGCCUGUUCCAUUCAGGGAGCCCCUGUGACUCCAAAAGUGGCCUUUCUCCUCUGAGCAUCUUAACAGAGGUUUCAGUAGAGGGUACUAUACUAAAUAAUGCAGCCCUCCUUCUUUCUUCCAUGCCAGAGAAGUUUACAAAACAAGGAGGAAGACUUCUACACCUCACAGCCAGGAUUCCCUGCUCUGGCUCUCGGCUGCUGCCUCAGGGUGAAUCUGUUGCUAGGUCAUCGUGGCAUCUCUGCAGAGUUGAGGUCUCACUAAGUUGCCCAGGCUGGUCUGGAACUCCUGGACUCGAGCAAUCCCCCCGCCUUGGCCUCCCAAAGUGCUGGGCUUACAGACAUGAGCCACCGUGUCCAGCUGACAGGAGGUCUUAACAUCCUUGUUUUUCGGACGAGGAAACUGAGGCGUGGAGAGGUGGAGACUUACACAAGAUCAUAGAGCGAAUAGAGGGCAGAGCUGGAGUCUGAAGUCAGUCUGACCGACCAUGAAACUCACAUGUCAUCCUGACACCAUUCCAAUCCUGUGAGGGGAAGAUUCCAGAGCAGACAACUCAGCUGCCUUUGUGACUGAAACCGAGAGUAAAUGAAGGAAUAUUUAUGAAGUCUCUGCAACUUGCCAGGUGCUUUCACUAUGCAACCCUCCCUGCAGCAGUCCCGAGAAUGUGAUCCUGAGUUUACUUCUGAUGAAAGCAAGGCUCAGAGGGGCCACCUGCCUAAGGGCGUGCAGCUGGAAUGCGGGGAGCCAGGACUCAAGCUCUGGUCUGUCUCAUUCACUUGGAAGCCAGGCCCCUUUCCUCCCUCCCGCUCUGCGUGCAGGAGCUCCGUGGUGGGGCAGCUGCCCCGAGGGAAGGUCCUUCUGACCGCCAGUGUCUGUGGCUGGCUGUCCAGGAAGCAGAGCCAGGACUGGCAGCUUGGGCUCCGAGGACUGCCUCUUCCUCUUGGCUGCCAGGGAGUUUCCAAUCAUCAGAAGAAACAGACUCUGGGAACAGCUCUGCCACUUGUCCCAGCCCUGCCCCAGCCUCUGAGCAACUGGAGCCCAGAUGCCCUGGCCCACCCUAAGCUAUCCAUAAGCACAGGUGGGCCUGAAGGAGGCUCCCUGCUGGGCGUGGGCGAGGGUCUUGGCCUUCUAGGUGGGACCCUGCCUGCCAGGGGACAGCCUCUUAGGUGGGUGGGAAAGAGCUCUGUACUUGGGGUCACAAAUGUGGCUUCUGGCCCUGCUCCACCAAGGGCCAGUGCGUGAUUUUAAAUAGAUCUCUUCGCCUCUCUGA